GACGAACGCUGGCGGCGUGCUUAACACAUGCAGGUCGAACGGAAAGGCCCUGCUUGCAGGGUACUCGAGUGGCGAACGGGUGAGUAACACGUGGGUGAUCUGCCCUGCACUUCGGGAUAAGCUUGGGAAACUGGGUCUAAUACCGGAUAGGAGCCAUCUUUAGUGUGGUGGUUGGAAAGUUUUUUCGGUGUAGGAUGAGCUCGCGGCCUAUCAGCUUGUUGGUGGGGUAAUGGCCUACCAAGGCGGCGACGGGUAGCCGGCCUGAGAGGGUGUACGGCCACAUUGGGACUGAGAUACGGCCCAGACUCCUACGGGAGGCAGCAGUGGGGAAUAUUGCACAAUGGGCGCAAGCCUGAUGCAGCGACGCCGCGUGGGGGAUGAAGGCCUUCGGGUUGUAAACUCCUUUCGCUAGGGACGAAGCUUUGUUGUGACGGUACCUAGAUAAGAAGCACCGGCUAACUACGUG
RNAcentral lists this ribosomal RNA (466 nucleotides) under uncultured bacterium. RNAcentral's name for it is "partial 16S ribosomal RNA". It matches the Rfam family "Bacterial small subunit ribosomal RNA", at positions 28 to 507 of the family's 1533-position model. The record is from RNAcentral.